Molecule: small nucleolar RNA, 105 nt
Filed under: Eutrema salsugineum
Lineage: Eukaryota; Viridiplantae; Streptophyta; Magnoliopsida; Brassicales; Brassicaceae
Description: Plant small nucleolar RNA R71
Rfam family: Plant small nucleolar RNA R71
About the family: R71 is a member of the C/D box family of snoRNAs containing the C (UGAUGA) and D (CUGA) box motifs.
Source: Rfam by way of RNAcentral
AAACCAUGAUGAGGGCAGUCUCUCUCAUACUCCUUGAAUCGAUCCCAGGCUUCAUAGAAUGACUCUAUUAGGCCUUGUUGAAACUUUGUAUCUUGUUUCUCAGCU